GGACGAACGCUGGCGGCGUGCCUAAUACAUGCAAGUCGAACGGUCUUUCUAUGGAAGCUUGCUUCCACUGAGAAGAUAGUGGCGAACGGGUGAGUAACACGUGGGUAACCUGCCCAUAAGAGGGGGGAUAACAUCCGGAAACGGGUGCUAAUACCGCAUAGUUUUCUUGGUCGCAUGAUCGGGAAAGGAAAGACGGCCUUUGUGCUGUCGCUUAUGGAUGGACCCGCGGCGUAUUAGUUAGUUGGUGAGGUAACGGCUCACCAAGACGAUGAUACGUAGCCGACCUGAGAGGGUGAUCGGCCACAUUGGGACUGAGACACGGCCCAAACUCCUACGGGAGGCAGCAGUAGGGAAUCUUCCGCAAUGGACGAAAGUCUGACGGAGCAACGCCGCGUGAGUGAAGAAAAGGUUUUCGGAUCGUAAAACUCUGUUGUCAGAGAAGAACAAGUUGGAGAGUAACUGCUCCAGCCUUGACGGUAUCUGACCAGAAAGCCACGGCUAACUACGUGCCAGCAGCCGC
This 520-nucleotide ribosomal RNA is filed under the name uncultured bacterium. Its description in RNAcentral is "bacterial SSU rRNA". It matches the Rfam family "Bacterial small subunit ribosomal RNA", at positions 27 to 518 of the family's 1533-position model. The record is from RNAcentral.